This 550-nucleotide ribosomal RNA is filed under the name uncultured bacterium. RNAcentral's name for it is "bacterial SSU rRNA". It matches the Rfam family "Bacterial small subunit ribosomal RNA", at positions 355 to 896 of the family's 1533-position model. The record is from RNAcentral.
UAGGGAAUCUUCGGCAAUGGACGGAAGUCUGACCGAGCAACGCCGCGUGAGUGAAGAAGGUUUUCGGAUCGUAAAGCUCUGUUGUAAGAGAAGAACGAGUGUGAGAGUGGAAAGUUCACACUGUGACGGUAUCUUACCAGAAAGGGACGGCUAACUACGUGCCAGCAGCCGCGGUAAUACGUAGGUCCCGAGCGUUGUCCGGAUUUAUUGGGCGUAAAGCGAGCGCAGGCGGUUAGAUAAGUCUGAAGUUAAAGGCUGUGGCUUAACCAUAGUACGCUUUGGAAACUGUUUAACUUGAGUGCAAGAGGGGAGAGUGGAAUUCCAUGUGUAGCGGUGAAAUGCGUAGAUAUAUGGAGGAACACCGGUGGCGAAAGCGGCUCUCUGGCUUGUAACUGACGCUGAGGCUCGAAAGCGUGGGGAGCAAACAGGAUUAGAUACCCUGGUAGUCCACGCCGUAAACGAUGAGUGCUAAGUGUUGGAGGGGUUCCACCCUUCAGUGCUGGAGUUAACGCAAUAAGCACUCCGCCUGGGGAGUACGGCCGCAAGGCUG